Long non-coding RNA from Acipenser ruthenus (sterlet), 635 nucleotides. RefSeq lists it as uncharacterized. The record is from RefSeq and is a predicted model, not a curated record. Lineage: Eukaryota; Metazoa; Chordata; Actinopteri; Acipenseriformes; Acipenseridae. The transcript is spliced from 4 exons.
UGUAUAUAUACUAAACAUUAAUCUAACACAUGCAUUAAUACUAUGCUUUAAAACAAACAGAGGGAAACUUAAUUAAAAUCAACUAUCCCCCCUUUCAAUAUCUUCUACAGGUACUGCCCUGCUACAGGAAGUCAGUACCCAGGGAAGUCAAUAAAAGCUUCCCUCACCAACAUGGCUGGUUCCCCACUUCCUGUCAAGAUGGAGGACCAUACCACCACACCCAACUCAGGACACUCCCAACCACAGGCCUCCAGUCCUGAUACCCCAGGUACUGCCCUGCUACAGGAAGUCAGUACCCAGGGAAGUCAAUAAAAGCUUCCCUCACCAACAUGGCUGGUUCCCCACUUCCUGUCAAGAUGGAGGACCAUACCACCACACCCAACUCAGGACACUCCCAACCACAGGCCUCCAGUCCUGAUACCCCAGGUAAGUGAAUUUUGUUUUUAUUAUUUUCCUUACUAGACCCAAGGUUCAGCAACACAAUACACAAACAGUUAAAAAACAAUUUGCAGAAAAUGUCCAGAUACAUACUGAGACAAAUGUGAGGGUCUCCUCCCUCACAAACAUAUAAUAUUAAACAUUUUCUCAGCAAUUUUUUCAUGUCUUUUCCAAUACUUUUUUAAAAUGUAUUCUUU